AUUGAACGCUGGCGGCAUGCCUUACACAUGCAAGUCGAACGGUAACGGGCCUUCGGGUGCCGACGAGUGGCGAACGGGUGAGUAAUGUAUCGGAACGUACCUUUCAGUGGGGGAUAACGUAGCGAAAGUUACGCUAAUACCGCAUAUUCUGUGAGCAGGAAAGCAGGGGAUCGCAAGACCUUGCGCUGAUUGAGCGGCCGAUAUCAGAUUAGCUAGUUGGUGAGGUAAAGGCUCACCAAGGCGACGAUCUGUAGCGGGUCUGAGAGGAUGAUCCGCCACACUGGAACUGAGACACGGUCCAGACUCCUACGGGAGGCAGCAGUGGGGAAUUUUGGACAAUGGGCGAAAGCCUGAUCCAGCAACGCCGCGUGCGCGAUGAAGGCCUUCGGGUUGUAAAGCGCUUUUAGAGGAGAUGAGAAAGGACAGUAUCCUCUGAAUAAGCCUCGGCGAACUACGUGCCAGCAGCCGCGGUAAACGUAG
Molecule: ribosomal RNA, 480 nt
Filed under: uncultured bacterium
Lineage: Bacteria
Description: bacterial SSU rRNA
Rfam family: Bacterial small subunit ribosomal RNA
Source: RNAcentral